RNAcentral lists this ribosomal RNA (445 nucleotides) under uncultured Alphaproteobacteria bacterium. RNAcentral's name for it is "bacterial SSU rRNA". It matches the Rfam family "Bacterial small subunit ribosomal RNA", at positions 8 to 499 of the family's 1533-position model. The record is from RNAcentral. Lineage: Bacteria; Pseudomonadati; Pseudomonadota; Alphaproteobacteria.
AGAGUUUGAUCCUGGCUCAGAACGAACGCUGGCGGCAGGCUUAACACAUGCAAGUCGAGCGCACUCUUCGGAGUGAGCGGCGGACGGGUUAGUAACGCGUGGGAACGUGCCCUUCUCUAAGGAAUAGCCACUGGAAACGGUGAGUAAUACCUUAUACGCCCUUCGGGGGAAAGAUUUAUCGGAGAAGGAUCGGCCCGCGUUAGAUUAGAUAGUUGGUGGGGUAAUGGCCUACCAAGUCUACGAUCUAUAGCUGGUUUUAGAGGAUGAUCAGCAACACUGGGACUGAGACACGGCCCAGACUCCUACGGGAGGCAGCAGUGGGGAAUCUUGGACAAUGGGCGCAAGCCUGAUCCAGCCAUGCCGCGUGAGUGAUGAAGGCCUUAGGGUCGUAAAGCUCUUUCGCCAGAGAUGAUAAUGACAGUAUCUGGUAAAGAAACCCCGGCUA